UACGGGGGGGGCAAGCGUUGUUCGGAAUUACUGGGCGUAAAGGGUUCGUAGGUGGCUUGCUAAGUCAGACGUGAAAUCCCUCAGCUUAACUGGGGAACUGCGUCUGAUACUGGCGAGCUUGAGUGCAGGAGAGGAACGCGGAAUUCCAGGUGUAGCGGUGAAAUGCGUGGAUAUCGAGAAGAACACUUAGGGCGAAGGCAAGACUCUGGACAAAUGCUGACGCUCAUGCACGAAGGCUAGGGUAGCGAACGGG
RNAcentral lists this ribosomal RNA (253 nucleotides) under uncultured bacterium. Its description in RNAcentral is "partial 16S ribosomal RNA". It matches the Rfam family "Bacterial small subunit ribosomal RNA", at positions 524 to 776 of the family's 1533-position model. The record is from RNAcentral.